RNAcentral lists this ribosomal RNA (374 nucleotides) under uncultured bacterium. RNAcentral's name for it is "bacterial SSU rRNA". It matches the Rfam family "Bacterial small subunit ribosomal RNA", at positions 30 to 416 of the family's 1533-position model. The record is from RNAcentral.
AUUGAACGCUGGCGGCAGGCUUAACACAUGCAAGUCGAGCGGAGACUUCGGUCUUAGCGGCGAACGGGUGAGGAAUGCCUGGGAAUCUGCCUGUUAGUGGGGGAUAACGUUCCGAAAGGAACGCUAAUACCGCAUACGUCCUACGGGAGAAAGCAGGGGACCUUCGGGCCUUGCGCUAACAGAUGAGCCCAGGUCGGAUUAGCUAGUUGGUGGGGUAAAGGCUCACCAAGGCGACGAUCCGUAGCUGGUCUGAGAGGAUGAUCAGCCACACUGGAACUGAGACACGGUCCAGACUCCUACGGGAGGCAGCAGUGGGGAAUAUUGGACAAUGGGCGAAAGCCUGAUCCAGCCAUGCCGCGUGUGUGAAGAAGGCC